UCCCUCUCUUCCUUCCCCCAUAUCAACUUAGUCUUCAGAUCCUAUUAAUUCUUCCUUUCCAUUUAUCCCUCCCACUGCUAGGAUACAACCUAACUCAGGUCCUGUGACUGCCGAGGCCGUGUCUCAGAUCCUGAGCAUUACACAGCCCAGACCGACAUUCUUUUUCCUCCAAAUCACCCUUCCCCAAACUAUUACUCUUCUUAAAAUAAAUUUACUAUGUACUGAUUCAUUCUUUCUACAAAUAUUUACUCUGUGUGGCAUUCCUCUUCUAAAAAACAUUCGAUGGAUUGCCAUUAACUAUUGAGUUAGGUCCAAACUCUUUAGGUUCAUAUUUCAGGUUCCAAAUAACAUCCACAUUUUCAACUGUACCUCUUCAGAUUCACUUAGCUGAACUCUGGGCUCCAGCCAGACGGCCACUUCAUGACUGUUUCAUUGUGUGCAUCCGCGUUUCUGUGCAUGCCACACCUCCUCCUGAAAUGUCCUCUUCCACUCUCUCCAUCUGGUGACACCGUGCCCAUCUCUGUAGGUUCAUCUGUGGUCUCCCACUUCCCUUGGAUGUCAUCCUUGGAUAAUUAAGGAUGACACUCUUAGAUGUCAUCUCUACCUUAUGACUAUCAUUUAACACUCCUACCCACGUGGCUUAAAGACUGGCUUUGUGAAAAAAAGAAACAAAACCCACCAAUUUUCCUGGCACGUUGGUUUAAUAGAAAUUCUAGUUUAGCAGAGGGAAUGUAAUUGCCAAGAACGUGAAGCAACGCGAAGUGGGGUUCUGCGCCCGUCUCCCUUGUCAGUCCCACUGCCCUCUUGGACCCGACUCCUAUUUACCAGCUGCUCUUAGACAAUCUUGAUUCUUCACUCCUGACCUUCUAUGUUGUAAUAGUACAACCUCAGCUAUGGAUCAGACAACUUUUAGAGAGAAGAACCUGGAUUAAGUGAAAUAACAAGUAUGAAAGUACUUAGAACAAUGCUGCAAUAUAGUAAUCGCUCAAAACAUACUCGCUUCCCUUAGAGAAAAUCUAUUUCCCUUUAAAAAUCAGGCAACCAAGUUUGGAAAGUUUGAGAUGUAUUUAAUGUCACAGAUCAAGUUAGAGGCAACAGUAGCUCCAAAACAUUAAUGUUCACAUUUCAAUAAAAAGGAAAAACUCUAGAGUAAC
Molecule: long non-coding RNA, 1154 nt
Filed under: Equus asinus (donkey)
Lineage: Eukaryota; Metazoa; Chordata; Mammalia; Perissodactyla; Equidae
Description: lncRNA (ENSEASG00005028071.1)
Source: RNAcentral